Molecule: ribosomal RNA, 468 nt
Filed under: uncultured bacterium
Lineage: Bacteria
Description: partial 16S ribosomal RNA
Rfam family: Bacterial small subunit ribosomal RNA
Source: RNAcentral
GACGAACGCUGGCGGCGUGCUUAACACAUGCAAGUCGAACGGAAAGGCCCUGCUUUUGUGGGGUGCUCGAGUGGCGAACGGGUGAGUAACACGUGAGUAACCUGCCCUUGACUUUGGGAUAACUUCAGGAAACUGGGGCUAAUACCGGAUAGGAGCUCCUGCUGCAUGGUGGGGGUUGGAAAGUUUCGGCGGUUGGGGAUGGACUCGCGGCUUAUCAGCUUGUUGGUGGGGUAGUGGCUUACCAAGGCUUUGACGGGUAGCCGGCCUGAGAGGGUGACCGGCCACAUUGGGACUGAGAUACGGAGCAGACGCCUACGGGAGGCAGCAGUGGGGAAUAUUGCACAAUGGGCGGAAGCGUGAUGAAGAAACGCCGCGUGCGGGAAGACGGCCUUCGGGUUGUAAACCGCUUUAGCCUGUGACGAAGCGUGAGUGACGGUAAUGGGUAAAGAAGCACCGGCUAACUACGUG